AUUAUCUCUUUCAAUUUUUAAUGUCCUCUGUGUCUUGUUAGGUCAUAAACUAUUCCCUUAUCCAUAAGUCUGACAGGUAACUCUUUCCAUUAUGAAUUUUAAAACUGCACCACUCUACUCAGACCAUACUUUAGAAUAUCUGAUUUAGCUAUUUCCUGAUUAGUUACAAUGGAGAUACUUGUUCUGACAGAACCAAAUCUUGGGAACUCUACAUUUUCCCCACCCUACUUAGUUUAACAAGGUCAGGAAUGUUUGCAUCAUACUCAAGGAUUAAGUACCUGAGAAGUUGGCCUUCAAUAGACAUGUGCAGAAACAGUGGACAGACCCCUUGGCUGUCCUAAGUCAAGCUAAGAUAACAUUGGUACAGAUAAGAUGCAGGAAAGUGACGUAAAACCGUCUAUAUAGGGCAAGUCACUUGCACCCUUUGGUCUCUUUUACCGGAAAAGCAUCUCUGGCUGGCAGCCUGCUAAGCCUUCCAAUAUCGGCAGCUAUUUGUCUGGGUUUUGACGCAGAUAUUUACUGGGUACUGAUGAGCUGUGAUUGGUACUGUAUUCCAAAGUCUAAGAGCUUUUGCAACCCCAGAAUCACACUGAAUUCAAGUUAAAGUUCAGGAGUUACAGCUUCCUGGGGGAACUUCAACUCCUUCUGGAGUUCUGAGUUCAAGUUGGAGGCUGGUGAAGAAUCUGCUGACUGGACCUGAGACCCUGUACUUGGUGAGACUGCCCUUGAAUCACUCCCUUUGAACUGACAUGUGGUGAGUGAAAAGGCUGACUCUUUUCCUGGAUUUCUGAAGAGACUAACCUCAGGCAAGACUUAUCCUCUUGUGAAACUCCCUGCAUCCCCAGGUCCUAAACUCAAAAGCCAAGGCCUCUCUGGCUAAGGACUAAACUCCCC
Molecule: long non-coding RNA, 894 nt
Filed under: Monodelphis domestica (gray short-tailed opossum)
Lineage: Eukaryota; Metazoa; Chordata; Mammalia; Didelphimorphia; Didelphidae
Description: lncRNA (ENSMODG00000046404.1)
Source: RNAcentral